GAUAAGAGUUCUUUGGAGAGAGUGUAUGGGAAUAUAUGUUCAUAGAACUUCGCAUCCUUAGAAGUAAAGACUUGAUUGGUGAGAAGGUUGAGGAAUUUAUAAGCUUUUUGGGGAGAAGGAUAUCCAAGAAAGAUGCAUGGCACUCCCUGGGGCUUAGUUAUCUAUGUUGGUGUGAGGAUUGUAAGCAAGACUAAAGCAACCAAAGGUUUUCAUAGUGUUGUGGUUUGGACGUUUGUGGUGUAAGGUUUCAAAAGGUGUUUUAUUGGCUAGGAUUGGGGUAGACAGGUUCUGGGAAGACCUUGACAUAUCUACUUUUAGUAUAUUCAACAAUCAAUACCCAAAAAGCUUAUGUUCAAGCAUUAAUUGUGGUGCCAACAAGGGAACUUGGUAUGCAAGUUAAAAAAGUUGCACGAAUGUUGGCAGCAAAGCCCACAGAUAAUGGAUCAGAGGAGCAGAAAUCAUGCACGGUCAUGGCCCUAUUAGACGGAGGAAUGUUGAAAAGGCACAGAAUGUGGCUAAAGGUUCCAUAUCCACUAGUUUGGUUAACCAUUUUACAUUUGAGCAUAACAGAAAAAUCUUUCAUUGACGAAUUUCUAUUAAGCAUUGGUAUAUAUUGAAUAGUGGUAUUCAGUUUUGUGACUUGAUUUUUUAAUUGUAUGUUUACUUCCUACAACAAAAAAAAACAUUUUGUAUAUGGUUUAGUAGCAAACGGUCUUAUAUCUUUCUGUAUUUUAGGCAGAUCCUCCAAUCAUUGUGGUGGCUACUAUGACAAGUUUGUGUUAAAUGCUUGAGAAACAUGCUUUAGAUCUUGGCGCAAUGAGAGUUCUCGUAAUUGAUGAGGUUGACUUCAUGUUUAAUUCCGCCAGACAAGUUAGUUCCCUGCGAAAAUUGCUAACAUCUUAUUCAUCAUGUCAAUCUCGCCAAACUGUAUUUGCCAGUGCAUCGAUUCCUCAGCAUAGGCACUUUCUGCAUGAGUGUGUACAGCAGAAAUGGACCAAAAGCAAUGUUGUCCAUGUCCAUGUUAAUCCAGUUGAACCGAUGCCUGCACGCCUGCAUCAUAGAUUUAUGGUAAUAACUCUAAGGAGUUCAGAUGGACAGACAUUUGAUGUGGAAGCAAACAUCGUCGGAUCGCAAAGUCCAUUGAUUAAGAACCUUAUCGAGAAUCACAUCGACACCAAUGGUGUUACACCGCUUAAAGUUCGUGCAGACAUUCUGACGCACAUUCUCAAUUACUGCAAAAAACACGCAAAACAGGAUCCACCUAUAAAUGAUGAAGAACUCAAGAAAUGGGACGAAGAAUUCAUCAAAUGUAAUCAGAGUAUCUUGUUUGAUCUGAUUAUGGCUGCUAACUAUCUUCUUAUGGAUUCUUUGAUUGAUUUGACUUGCCAAACAGUGGCCGACAUGAUUAAAGAUAAAUCUGUGGAGGAAAUCAGGGAAGUUUUCCAAAUCAAGAAUGAUUUUAAACCUGAAGAAGAGGAACAAGUACGAAAUGAGAAUUCAUGGGUAUUCGAGUGAUUCUGAAGCUAAGAUUGAUUUCUUGUUCUUGCCAAUUGGGUAAACGAAUUAGUGGAUUCUGUAGCUACGAUUGAUUUCUAGUUCUUGUGAAUUAGCUGCAAAUAACCAUUGUUCAUUAUCAUCAACCCAAUAUGGUCAAUUUUUCCUCAAAAGAUAGAGCCCUGCAUAGAGACGAAUGUGAUUAACGUUGCCUCGAGAUCAAAACUACCUUUUAGAAAAAUAACAUCAGCCUAUUGUGAUUGAUGGGAUAACACAUUGAAUGCAUUGGAUUGUGGGUUUUUCUAUCCUUUCAAUAGUAACACUUUUGUAUCCCUUUAUCAUCUUACACUAUAUAUAUGUGCAAGUUCCAGAAUACUUUGAUAGUGAAUGUAAUAGAAGAUAAACCGAUAUAAGUUUAUAUUUUAUACUACUUUUCUCUUUAUAUUCUCCGUAUCUUUUAACACGUUAUCAA
Amaranthus tricolor (Joseph's coat) is the source of this 1966-nucleotide RNA transcript. It is a transcript of the gene named SKP1-like protein 12, with no coding region annotated. Lineage: Eukaryota; Viridiplantae; Streptophyta; Magnoliopsida; Caryophyllales; Amaranthaceae. The transcript is spliced from 7 exons. The record is from RefSeq and is a predicted model, not a curated record.